Molecule: ribosomal RNA, 441 nt
Filed under: uncultured bacterium
Lineage: Bacteria
Description: partial 16S ribosomal RNA
Rfam family: Bacterial small subunit ribosomal RNA
Source: RNAcentral
CCUACGGGUGGCAGCAGUGGGGAAUAUUGCACAAUGGGGGAAACCCUGAUGCAGCCACGCCGCGUGAAGGAAGACGGUUUUCGGAUUGUAAACUUCUGUUCUUAGUGAAGAAUACUGACGGUAGCUAAGGAGCUAGCCACGGCUAAAUACGUGCCAGCAGCCGCGGUAAUACGUAGGUGGCAAGCGUUAUCCGGAUUUCCUGGGUGUAAAGGGAGCGUAGACGGCGUGCCAAGUCUGGUGUGAAAGGCCGGGGCUCAACCCCGGGACUGCAUUGGAAACUGGCAUACUGGAGUGCCGGAGGGGCAAGCGGAAUUCCUAGUGUAGCGGUGAAAUGCGUAGAUAUUAGGAGGAACACCGGUGGCGAAGGCGGCUUGCUGGACGGUAACUGACGUUGAGGCUCGAAAGCGUGGGGAGCAAACAGGAUUAGAUACCCUAGUAGUC